GACGAACGCUGGCGGCGUGCUUAACACAUGCAAGUCGAACGGAAAGGCCCCUUUGGGGGUACUCGAGUGGCGAACGGGUGAGUAACACGUGAGUAACCUGCCCUUGACUUCGGGAUAACUUCAGGAAACUGGGGCUAAUACCGGAUAGGAAUCCUUGCUGCAUGGUGGGGGUUGGAAAGCUUCGGCGGUUUUGGAUGGACUCGCGGCUUAUCAGCUUGUUGGUGGGGUAGUGGCUUACCAAGGCUUUGACGGGUAGCCGGCCUGAGAGGGCGACCGGCCACAUUGGGACUGAGAUACGGCCCAGACUCCUACGGGAGGCAGCAGUGGGGAAUAUUGCACAAUGGGCGGAAGCCUGAUGCAGCAACGCCGCGGGCGGGAUGACGGCCUUCGGGUUGUAAACCGCUUUCAGCAGGGGCGAAGCUUGUGGUGAUGGUACCUGCAGAAGAAGCACCGGCUAACUACGUG
This 465-nucleotide ribosomal RNA is filed under the name uncultured bacterium. RNAcentral describes it as "partial 16S ribosomal RNA". It matches the Rfam family "Bacterial small subunit ribosomal RNA", at positions 28 to 507 of the family's 1533-position model. The record is from RNAcentral.